CGUUGUAACACCGGAUCCUGUAUGAUCAUCGAAGUUAAGCAACGUCGAGCGUGGUCUGUAUCUAUGUGGCUGACAGCCUGAGAAUACCAAGUGCUGUAA
Molecule: ribosomal RNA, 99 nt
Filed under: Acanthosepion pharaonis
Lineage: Eukaryota; Metazoa; Mollusca; Cephalopoda; Sepiida; Sepiidae
Source: RNAcentral